RNAcentral lists this ribosomal RNA (484 nucleotides) under uncultured bacterium. RNAcentral describes it as "partial 16S ribosomal RNA". It matches the Rfam family "Bacterial small subunit ribosomal RNA", at positions 30 to 507 of the family's 1533-position model. The record is from RNAcentral.
AUUGAACGCUGGCGGCAGGCCUAACACAUGCAAGUCGAGCGGAUGAAGGGAGCUUGCUCCUGGAUUCAGCGGCGGACGGGUGAGUAAUGCCUAGGAAUCUGCCUGGUAGUGGGGGAUAACGUCCGGAAACGGGCGCUAAUACCGCAUACGUCCUGAGGGAGAAAGUGGGGGAUCUUCGGACCUCACGCUAUCAGAUGAGCCUAGGUCGGAUUAGCUAGUUGGUGGGGUAAAGGCCUACCGAGGCGACGAUCCGUAACUGGUCUGAGAGGAUGAUCAGUCACACUGGGACUGAGACACGGUCCAGACUCCUACGGGAGGCAGCAGUGGGGAAUAUUGGACAAUGGGCGAAAGCCUGAUCCAGCCAUGCCGCGUGUGUGAAGAAGGUCUUCGGAUUGUAAAGCACUUUAAGUUGGGAGGAAGGGCAGUAAGUUAAUACCUUGCUGUUUUGACGUUACCAACAGAAUAAGCACCGGCUAACUUCGUG